This 301-nucleotide ribosomal RNA is filed under the name uncultured bacterium. RNAcentral describes it as "partial 16S ribosomal RNA". It matches the Rfam family "Bacterial small subunit ribosomal RNA", at positions 509 to 808 of the family's 1533-position model. The record is from RNAcentral.
CAGCAGCCGCGGGAAUACGUAGGCCCCGAGCGUUGUCCGGAUUUAUUGGGCGUAAAGCGAGCGCAGGCGGUUAGAUAAGUCUGAAGUUAAAGGCUGUGGCUUAACCAUAGUACGCUUUGGAAACUGUUUAACUUGAGUGCAAGAGGGGAGAGUGGAAUUCCAUGUGUAGCGGUGAAAUGCGUAGAUAUAUGGAGGAACACCGGUGGCGAAAGCGGCUCUCUGGCUUGUAACUGACGCUGAGGCUCGAAAGCGUGGGGAGCAAACAGGAUUAGAUACCCCUGUAGUCCCUGUCUCUUAUACA